This 494-nucleotide ribosomal RNA is filed under the name uncultured bacterium. RNAcentral describes it as "partial 16S ribosomal RNA". It matches the Rfam family "Bacterial small subunit ribosomal RNA", at positions 28 to 507 of the family's 1533-position model. The record is from RNAcentral.
GACGAACGCUGGCGGCGUGCUUAACACAUGCAAGUCGAACGGUGAAGCGCCUUCCUUUUUGGGGGGUGUGGAGGCGUGGCGAACGGGUGAGUAACACGAGAGUAACCUGCCCCCUUCUUCUGGUUAACCGCAUGAAAGUGUGGCUAAUACGGGAUAUUCUGGUGCUGUGUCAUGGUGGGUCUGGGUAAGAUGUUGUUUCGGUGGGGGAGGGGCUCGCGGCCUUUCAGCUUGUUGGGGGUGUGCUGGCCUUCCAAGGCUGUUCCGGGUAGCCGGCCUGGGAGGGUGGACGGUCACACUGGGUGAGCGACACGGCUGGGACUGCGACGGGGGGCAGCAGUGGGGAGUAUGGCACAGUGGGGGCAAGUCUGAUGCGGCGGCGCGGCGUGAGGGAUAGCGGCCUGCGGGUUGUGAACCUCUUUGGCCAGUGAAGCAGGUCUGCCUGGUAUGUGGGGGGGUUGACGGUAGCUGGAAAAGAAGCACCGGCUAACUACGUG